Molecule: ribosomal RNA, 423 nt
Filed under: uncultured bacterium
Lineage: Bacteria
Description: bacterial SSU rRNA
Rfam family: Bacterial small subunit ribosomal RNA
Source: RNAcentral
UGAGGGAUAUUGGUCAAUGGGCGGAAGCCUGAACCAGCCAUCCCGCGUGCAGGAAGACAGCCCUAUGGGUUGUAAACUGCUUUUCCAGUGGGCGAAACACUCGUACGUGUACGAGAUUGACGGUACACUGGGAAUAAGCAUCGGCUAACUCCGUGCCAGCAGCCGCGGUAAUACGGAGGAUGCAAGCGUUAUCCGGAUUUAUUGGGUUUAAAGGGUGCGUAGGCGGAUGAAUAAGUCAGUGGUGAAAGGCUGCAGCUUAACUGUAGACUUGCCGUUGAUACUGUUUAUCUUGAGUAUGGUCAAGGCAGGCGGAAUGUGUAGUGUAGCGGUGAAAUGCUUAUAUAUUACACAGAACACCGAUUGCGAAGGCAGCUUGCUGGGCCAUUACUGACGCUGAUGCACGAAAGCGUGGGGAGCGAACAG